This 1216-nucleotide long non-coding RNA is filed under the name Olea europaea subsp. europaea. Lineage: Eukaryota; Viridiplantae; Streptophyta; Magnoliopsida; Lamiales; Oleaceae. The record is from RNAcentral.
GAUCGAAGUGCUUAUCUAUAGGCCAUAUUAUGGUGCCUUGCAUAGUUUAGUUUGCCUGACAUUUUCUGUUUCCAUCCGUUAGGUUUAUAAACUGGUUGAAGACAUAAAGUCCAAGGGUGGAACUGUCACUCGAGAGCCAGGUCCAGUUAAAGGUGGAUCAUCUGUGAUUGCAUUUGUUAAGGAUCCUGAUGGCUACCUUUUCGAACUAAUUCAACGCGGUCCAACUCCUGAACCACUCUGUCAAGUGAUGCUUCGUGUGGGUGACCUUGAACGUUCUAUCAAAUUUUAUGAAAAGGUGAACUAUUCUUCGUUUUAAAUUCGUGUAAGUUUGGUUUAGGUUUUGAAGCUACCUCUUCAAUUGAUCUAUUUCUGGAGGUCUUAUCUCUGCUCUUCCCAUGUGCAUAAAUAAACGAAAUACCUGCUAUGUGCGUCUCCAAGAAUUAGUGCAUCUAUCAGCCAUUGUGGAUGUCAUGAUAAGACAAAAAUGUUGAAGUCUGUAGAAAAUUGGUUUUUUGAUUACCAGAAGAAUGAAUGUUAUAAGAAAGUUCCACUUUAAUCCUUCAAAAAUAAUGGUAUCAACAGUCUUCUCUUCUGUAACCUUCGACUUCCAUAUAGAUGCUGCAGUGUAAUAUUAAUGUGCAGUCUGGAGCGAUUGGUUCUCUGAAAAUAUGCUGAUAUUUAUCGCUCUUUAUUCACACAGGCAUUGGGGAUGAAACUCUUGAAGAAAACUGACAGACCAGAACAAAAGGUAUCACCAAAUGCAACCACUUUUUCUUUGGACUUCAACCUUUUAUUUUCCUUGGGAAUUUGCUAAUGCAGUGACAACAAACGUUGUUGUACUGUGCAGUACACCAUAGCAAUGAUGGGAUAUGCUGAUGAAUAUAAGACAACUGUCCUUGAGUUGACAUACAAUUAUGGUGUGACUGAAUAUACCAAAGGAAAUGCGUAUGCACAGGUUUGUUAUAUGCUUGUGAAAAUUCUUCAGUUUUUAUCAUUCAACUCUGGCCUCAUGGUGGAUGUAAUAAUAUUUCUAGGUUGCAAUCAGUACUGAGGAUGUAUAUAAAAGUGCCGAGGUUGUGAAUCUUGUAACCCAAGAGCUUGGAGGAAAGAUAACUCGGCAACCAGGACCACUUCCUGGACUGAACACUAAGAUCACUUCUUUCCUAGAUCCAGAUGGUUGGAAAACAGUAAGUUCUCACUUCUCAGGGAUUCAUAC